AACGGAAAACUGAGUGCUAGGGUUGUCGCUGACCCUUCGAAGGGUCGUGCACGCCCAAGUGCUCUCUCUCAAUCCAUCUCACCCCUUUGUGCACCACCGCGUGGGCCACCUUUUUGGCUUGUUUCAAAGAGGUUKGGUCCCGGUUUUAACCCUGCCCUUAAGGUAAAAAAGGCCUUAUUUUUGGCSGCCACCCCCAAAAAAAAAUAACAAUUUUCACCACGGAACCCCUGGCUCCCCSCACCAAGGAAAAACCAACCGAAUGGCAAUACGUAAGGGAAAUUGAAAAAUCCAUGAAACCAUCAAACCUUUAAACCCACUUUGCCCCCUUGCAAUCCGAGGGCAAACCGGUUGAAUUGCCUUAACCCCUCCCUCACCUUCCUUUGUCUUUUGCCAGGAAGGUUGGAUUUGAAGUUUUUCUUUGUGGAACCUUUUAAGCACUCCUCCAAUGGAACCAUGGAACCGUUUGUUAACUCAAGUGAAAGCAAUAUCAGGCUGAUUUCCAAACUGCCUCAUGGCUAACAAACAUGUCGGGUCCAACCACCAAACCUGAACUAAUCGUGAAUACGCGACUUAACAAACCAAAACGAGGGAAAAACUACAGAAUUCCAAAUAACUGCAGGAAACGGGAACCUAUUUCUACCCGGGGCCAUGUACACUAAAUUUAAUUAA
Molecule: unclassified non-coding RNA, 669 nt
Filed under: uncultured fungus
Lineage: Eukaryota; Fungi
Description: partial contains ITS1, 5.8S rRNA and ITS2
Source: RNAcentral